AACGAACGCUGGCGGCAUGCCUAACACAUGCAAGUCGAACGAGACCUUCGGGUCUAGUGGCGCACGGGUGCGUAACGCGUGGGAACCUGCCCUUAGGUUCGGAAUAACUCCCCGAAAGGGGUGCUAAUACCGGAUAAUGUCUUCGGACCAAAGAUUUAUCGCCUUUGGAUGGGCCCGCGUUGGAUUCGCUAGUUGGUAGGGUAAAAGCCUACCAAGGCGACGAUCCAUAGCUGGUCUGAGAGGAUGAUCAGCCACACUGGGACUGAGACACGGCCCAGACUCCUACGGGAGGCAGCAGUGGGGAAUAUUGGACAAGGGGCGAAAGCCUGAUCCAGCAAUGCCGCGUGAGUGAUGAAGGCCUUAGGGUUGUAAAGCUCUUUUACCCGGGAUGAUAAUGACAGUACCGGGAGAAUAAGCACCGGCUAACUCCGUG
This 433-nucleotide ribosomal RNA is filed under the name uncultured bacterium. Its description in RNAcentral is "partial 16S ribosomal RNA". It matches the Rfam family "Bacterial small subunit ribosomal RNA", at positions 29 to 507 of the family's 1533-position model. The record is from RNAcentral.